Molecule: long non-coding RNA, 601 nt
Filed under: Mus spicilegus (steppe mouse)
Lineage: Eukaryota; Metazoa; Chordata; Mammalia; Rodentia; Muridae
Description: lncRNA (ENSMSIG00000005390.1)
Source: RNAcentral
GUGGGGGUUGAGUAAAAACAGAAUACCAGGGACUUGGGGCAUUGCUCUACAUGAUUGAUGACCAUAGAAUUAUAGAGCCGAGGCCACAUGUCAGGAGCCUCGUGUCUGGAAGCAUGGCAAAUAUCCUUCUGUCUCUUGCAGAGUUAUCUGCUGGGUCUCCAGGGUUUUAGCCUAUUCAACCAGAAAACAGGCUGCCUUUUAUGGUCCCACACUGUAGUGAGAAUUUUUUUUAAAUAGUUAUGUUACAUCACUACAUUUUUUAUUUAAUCCCAGGUGUGGAAUAUGGGGCCACUUCACUUUGUCUGUACUCCCUGCUCAUGGUACUAAUUUCUACACAUGGCUGAUAUGGAUGGCAGCACCUCAUCAAUACCAAACUUGGCCUUUUCCUGGAGACAAGAACAUUUUGCUGUUACACAGGGAUUUCCAGACAAGCAUGGGCUUCAUGAAGCAGUCCUGUCUGAAAAAAUAUAUAAGGAAGAUUAGUAAAAUAGAAAUGUCAAGCAUGAUGGCACAUACUAUAAUUUCAGCGUUCAGAGGAAGGCUAAUGCAGACGACUGACUUUGCUUUUCAUCUGCUACUUUAUGGGCGAUGCCCCCAAUAG